RNAcentral lists this ribosomal RNA (497 nucleotides) under uncultured bacterium. Its description in RNAcentral is "partial 16S ribosomal RNA". It matches the Rfam family "Bacterial small subunit ribosomal RNA", at positions 28 to 507 of the family's 1533-position model. The record is from RNAcentral.
GACGAACGCUGGCGGCGUGCCUAAUACAUGCAAGUUGAGCGCUGAAGGUUGGUACUUGUACCAACUGGAUGAGCAGCGAACGGGUGAGUAACGCGUGGGGAAUCUGCCUUUGAGCGGGGGACAACAUUUGGAAACGAAUGCUAAUACCGCAUAAAAACUUUAAACACAAGUUUUAAGUUUGAAAGAUGCAAUUGCAUCACUCAAAGAUGAUCCCGCGUUGUAUUAGCUAGUUGGUGAGGUAAGGGCUCACCAAGGCGAUGAUACAUAGCCGACCUGAGAGGGUGAUCGGCCACAUUGGGGCUGAGACACGGCCCAAACUCCUACGGGAGGCAGCAGUAGGGAAUCUUCGGCAAUGGACGAAAGUCUGACCGAGCAACGCCGCGUGAGUGAAGAAGGUUUUCGGAUCGUAAAACUCUGUUGGUAGAGAAGAACGUUGGUGAGAGUGGAAAGCUCAUCAAGUGACGGUAACUACCCAGAAAGGGACGGCUAACUACGUG